This 116-nucleotide ribosomal RNA is filed under the name Candidatus Omnitrophota bacterium. Lineage: Bacteria; Pseudomonadati; Candidatus Omnitrophota. The record is from RNAcentral.
UCCGAUAACAUUACUGGAGAGGCAACACCCGUUCCCAUUCCGAAUACGGCAGUUAAGCUCUUCAAGGUCGAUGGUACUGUACCCUUUGGGUGUGGGAGAGUAGAUAGUUAUCGGUU